RNAcentral lists this long non-coding RNA (345 nucleotides) under Lathyrus oleraceus (garden pea). Its description in RNAcentral is "Pisum sativum (pea) long non-coding RNA (PSAT_LNC011187)". The record is from RNAcentral. Lineage: Eukaryota; Viridiplantae; Streptophyta; Magnoliopsida; Fabales; Fabaceae.
AUUAGAAAUUAAUACAUUAAAAGUUAAUUUAGGAUGAAACUCCACAAGGGUAUCCCACAAAUAAAGUGGAAUACCUAGCCAAUAACCUUUUCCUGGGAUAUGUGAACCUUUACGAAACUCAAAAAAAAGAAACAUGUCAGAACACCAAAUCAGGGUGCAAUCGAAGAUUACACCGGAGAAAUAUCACAACAAUAAAUAGGGUAGGAUGAAUAAUGCAUGGCUAUGAUAAAACAUAAAAAAAAAACAGAAUAGAAAAGUCAGCUACUGUCUCGUUCGCCUCUGCCUCGCCUAGCGAAGGCCACGGAUUUUGAAUUUGAAAACAGCCCCAUGUUAGGAACUUUGAAU